GCUCCUGUCGUCCAACGGAUAGGGCACCGGACUACGGAUCCGGCAACCGGGGUUCGAAUCCCCGCAGGAGUA
RNAcentral lists this transfer RNA (72 nucleotides) under Streptomyces sp. P17. RNAcentral's name for it is "tRNA-Arg". It matches the Rfam family "tRNA". From Rfam's summary of the family: Transfer RNA (tRNA) molecules are approximately 80 nucleotides in length. The record is from RNAcentral. Lineage: Bacteria; Bacillati; Actinomycetota; Actinomycetes; Kitasatosporales; Streptomycetaceae.